UACAGAGGUCCCAAGCGUUGUUCGGAUUCACUGGGCGGAAAGGGUGCGUAGGUGGCGAGGUAAGUCUGAUGUGAAAUCUCCGAGCUCAACUCGGAAACUGCAUCGGAUACUAUUUUGCUCGAGGGUUGGAGGGGAGACUGGAAUACUUGGUGUAGCAGUGAAAUGCGUAGAUAUCAAGUGGAACACCAGUGGCGAAGGCGAGUCUCUGGACAACUCCUGACACUGAGGCACGAAAGCUAGGGGAGCAAACAGG
RNAcentral lists this ribosomal RNA (253 nucleotides) under uncultured bacterium. RNAcentral describes it as "partial 16S ribosomal RNA". It matches the Rfam family "Bacterial small subunit ribosomal RNA", at positions 524 to 776 of the family's 1533-position model. The record is from RNAcentral.